GGAAUGAGCAAAGGAAAAAGUCCCUCGAAGCACACAGCAUCCUGAGUGAGUGACUCACGAAGUCCCAAAGACAGCAUUGACCCACUGAUCCUUUAUCUGCUCUGUCAAACCAGCCCCUCACUGACCCUGCACACCUGUCAUCCAGCAAGCUCUGGGGACCACCCUGUAAACAGCAUCCUAACUAGUCACCUGACUCAUCCUCUGUUCUGCAAACCUGGGGAUCUGAGGGCACCAGCAGCAUUCACACAAAGUGGUGAGCCUGGGCUCUGCUCUCAGGAGCUGCAAGUCUCAGGUGCCUUCACCUCCCUUCAUCUGCACUGCCCUCACUGCAGUGAGUAGACCAGACCGGCCUCGGCCCCGCCCACUCGGAUCCCUGCGGGCUCCGCCCCCCGCUGCUCUCUUCCUUCCCCUCUAUCCUUCCAUCCUCUCUUCACCUUCUGGCAUUUUCCACUCAGACAUUGACCUUUGCGUUGACACAGUCAGUCAAUAUGUGAAACCCUUGCUUUUCUCAACCUAAAAUAAAUCCAUAAUUAAUUCAUUAA
Molecule: long non-coding RNA, 542 nt
Filed under: Mus pahari (shrew mouse)
Lineage: Eukaryota; Metazoa; Chordata; Mammalia; Rodentia; Muridae
Description: lncRNA (MGP_PahariEiJ_G0003552.1)
Source: RNAcentral